CAAGGUAGCCGAACAGCUCAGAGCCGCUGCUCCGGCUCCCGGCGACCGCGAUGGGACAACGCACGUACCCUGGCCCAGCGGGCNGCGGCGGCGGCCACCCGCCACAGCAUACGGAGCGCCAGGCUGCCCAGCCUCCCCGCGCGCCGCGCUGGGCCUGGCGACGCUGCCGAGGGGCCGCCGCCUCCUCCCCGAGGCCGGGCGCACGUGGGCCGAGGCCGCAGGCUCCCGAGGCGCAGUGCCCGGCCGGAGGCUCUUCAUUCACUCCAGCCAGGGGUUGUCGAUUGUUAUGCCAUAAUACCAGAGGAACUAUGGAGCGGUGCUGCGGUUGAGCUGAAACCACCGACAAAGCUUUGUGGAUUAUCUUGGAAAGAGAUCCUCUACGCCUGGUCAAUCCUUGAGCUGACUGCAAACUUUAUGAGACCUUCAGCUAGGAAUACCCAGCUUAGCCACAUUUCUGGGAUGGGGUUGUAGCUUUUGGAGUGCUUGUCCUGUAAGCAUAGGGCUGCGGAUUCUAUCACCAACAAUCAGUGAACCCAGCAUAGAAGUGGAUGCCUAGAUCUUGGCAUGAAGGAGAAUCAGGAAUUCAAGGACAAAUCUGAGAGCAGCCUGGGUGUGGGUGGAUUCUUUAGGCCACUGAACAUCUGGUUAUUUAUUACAUGGCCUAAGUAACUAUUAGACAAGGUAAAGGAGAAAAUAGGGGGCACACAUGUGAGGGUUACUGUAGCUUUUCUGUAAAUUUCAAAAUAA
Mus caroli (Ryukyu mouse) is the source of this 747-nucleotide non-coding RNA. The record is from RefSeq and is a predicted model, not a curated record. NCBI's taxonomy places the organism in Eukaryota, Metazoa, Chordata, Mammalia, Rodentia, Muridae.